AUACGGAGGGUGCAAGCGUUAAUCGGAAUUACUGGGCGUAACGCGCGCGUAGGCGGAUAUUUAAGUCUCAUGUGAAAGCCCUGGGCUCAACCUGGGAACUGCAUGGGAUACUGGGUAUCUAGAAUACAGUAGAGGGUAGUGGAAUUUCAGGUGUGGCGGUGAAAUGCGUAGAGAUCUGAAGGAACAUCAGUGGCGAAGGCGACUACCUGGACUGAUAUUGACGCUGAGGUGCGAAAGCGUGGGAGCAAACGGGAUUAGAAACCCUAGUAGUCC
Molecule: ribosomal RNA, 273 nt
Filed under: uncultured bacterium
Lineage: Bacteria
Description: partial 16S ribosomal RNA
Rfam family: Bacterial small subunit ribosomal RNA
Source: RNAcentral